GGGGGUGUAGCUCAGCUGGGAGAGCGCCUGCUUUGCAAGCAGGAAGUCAGGGGUUCGAGUCCCCUCAUCUCCA
This 73-nucleotide transfer RNA is filed under the name Anaerolineae bacterium. Its description in RNAcentral is "tRNA-Ala". It matches the Rfam family "tRNA". Rfam says of the family: Transfer RNA (tRNA) molecules are approximately 80 nucleotides in length. The record is from RNAcentral. Lineage: Bacteria; Bacillati; Chloroflexota; Anaerolineae.